ACAAAGGCUCUUUUCAGAGCCACCUACGUUGUCGAUGAAAGUAGCU
Molecule: non-coding RNA, 46 nt
Organism: Mus musculus (house mouse)
Lineage: Eukaryota; Metazoa; Chordata; Mammalia; Rodentia; Muridae
Source: Rfam